GCACGCUCCCCCCGUUUCUCCUCCUCCUACUUCUGACCAGAGCUCAGCUCACCAGGAAGCUCUGCCUUCAGGUGGCAUCUUUGUUUCUGCCUCCAGGGGCGUAAAUUAUUUUUGUCUCCCCAGAGACAAAAUGUUGCAUUCAGCCCCCACGUGACCUUCUGGGCUUCUCCAGGGAGGUGCAGGCACUGGGCAGGGAGGUGCAGGCACUGGGCAGGGAGUGCAGGCACUGGGCAGGGAGGUGCAGGCACUGGGCAGGGGUGGCUGGUGAGCCCAGGGCGGAGCCGCCAUGUGUACCCAGUGGAGGGUCUGGUGUUUGCUAGUAACAGAAACCCACUUAGCACCAUCUCCAAACAGAAAAGGAAUGAGCCCCAGGACAGGAGGCCCCGAGGCACUCCUACUGUGGGGCUCUGGGAACUGGUCCAUCCUCCCCACUGGACAGGCAGCCCCUCAGCUCCCUAAGUCGUACCGACCAGAUAAUCCCGACACGGCACCUUGACGAGCAGCAGAGGCUGGGCCUCCCGCAGGGCUGGUAUUUCUCAGAGGAGGUUCCGUGAGGACCCAGCGGGCGCUGCAGGGGGUUCUGAGGGCCAGUCUGUUCUUCCUCCAGCGAUGGGGGGUGGGGGGAGGGGAGAGCUGAG
This is a long non-coding RNA of Myotis daubentonii (Daubenton's bat), 638 nucleotides long. RefSeq lists it as uncharacterized. Lineage: Eukaryota; Metazoa; Chordata; Mammalia; Chiroptera; Vespertilionidae. The record is from RefSeq and is a predicted model, not a curated record.